RNAcentral lists this ribosomal RNA (405 nucleotides) under uncultured bacterium. Its description in RNAcentral is "partial 16S ribosomal RNA". It matches the Rfam family "Bacterial small subunit ribosomal RNA", at positions 28 to 526 of the family's 1533-position model. The record is from RNAcentral.
GAUGAACGCUGGCGGCGUGCCUAAUACAUGCAAGUCGAGCGCAGCGGGGACGGGUGAGUAACACUUGGAAAACCUCGUAUAAGACUGGGAUAACUUCGGGAAACCGGAGCUAAACCGGAUACUAAUAGAUGGCUCAGCGCUGCAUUAGCGAGUUGGUAAGGUAACGGCUUACCAAGGCAACGAUGCAUAGCCUACCUGAGAGGGUGAUCGGCCACACUGGAACUGAGACACGGUCCAGCCUCCUACGGGAGGCAGCAGUAGGGAAUCUUCCGCAAUGGGCGAAAGCCUGACGGAGCAACGCCGCGUGAGUGAUGAAGGUUUUCGGAUCGUAAAACUCUGUUAUUAGGGAAGCGGUACCUAAUCAGAAAGCCACGGCUAACUACGUGCCAGCAGCCGCGGUAAUAC